AGUAAGCACUUCUGUAGGUCACUCUGGAUAAGAGCAUCUGCUAAAUGUCAUCAA
Molecule: regulatory RNA element, 54 nt
Organism: Astyanax mexicanus (Mexican tetra)
Lineage: Eukaryota; Metazoa; Chordata; Actinopteri; Characiformes; Acestrorhamphidae
Rfam family: UnaL2 LINE 3' element
About the family: The eel long interspersed element (LINE) UnaL2 and its partner short interspersed element (SINE) share a conserved 3' tail containing a stem-loop that is critical for their retrotransposition. Presumably, the first step of retrotransposition is the recognition of their 3' tails by UnaL2-encoded reverse transcriptase. The solution structure of a 17-nucleotide RNA derived from the 3' tail of UnaL2 was determined by NMR.
Source: Rfam